CGACCUGAGAGGGUGAUCGGCCACACUGGAACUGAGACACGGUCCAGACUCCUACGGGAGGCAGCAGUAGGGAAUCUUCCGCAAUGGGCGAAAGCCUGACGGAGCAACGCCGCGUGAGUGAUGAAGGUCUUCGGAUCGUAAAACUCUGUUAUUAGGGAAGAACAUAUGUGUAAGUAACUGUGCACAUCUUGACGGUACCUAAUCAGAAAGCCACGGCUAACUACGUGCCAGCAGCCGCGGUAAUACGUAGGUGGCAAGCGUUAUCCGGAAUUAUUGGGCGUAAAGCGCGCGUAGGCGGUUUUUUAAGUCUGAUGUGAAAGCCCACGGCUCAACCGUGGAGGGUCAUUGGAAACUGGAAAACUUGAGUGCAGAAGAGGAAAGUGGAAUUCCAUGUGUAGCGGUGAAAUGCGCAGAGAUAUGGAGGAACACCAGUGGCGAAGGCGACUUUCUGGUCUGUAACUGACGCUGAUGUGCGAAAGCGUGGGGAUCAAACAGGAUUAGAUACCCUGGUAGUCCACGCCGUAAACGAUGAGUGCUAAGUGUUAGGGGGUUUCCGCCCCUUAGUGCUGCAGCUAACGCAUUAAGCACUCCGCCUGGGGAGUACGACCGCAAGGUUGAAACUCAAAGGAAUUGACGGGGACCCGCACAAGCGGUGGAGCAUGUGGUUUAAU
RNAcentral lists this ribosomal RNA (671 nucleotides) under Staphylococcus aureus. RNAcentral describes it as "bacterial SSU rRNA". It matches the Rfam family "Bacterial small subunit ribosomal RNA", at positions 288 to 950 of the family's 1533-position model. Lineage: Bacteria; Bacillati; Bacillota; Bacilli; Caryophanales; Staphylococcaceae. The record is from RNAcentral.